UGAGAUGUCCCUGUUAAANUCAGGGUAACCGAGGCGAGAUCCCCUGCCCACUAGUUGCUAUCAUUAUUCUCAGGAUUAGUGGGGGCGAAUUAGUGGGACUGCCGUUGUUAAAACGGAGGAAGGAAGGGGCUACGGCAGGUCANUAUGCCCCGAAACUCUGGGGCCACACGCGGGCUGCAAUGGUAGUGACAAUGAGUUCCAAACUCGAAAGAGAGUGGCAAUCUCUAAACGCUACCACAGUUAUGACUGAGGGCUGUAACUCGCCCUCACGAAUAUGGAAUCCNUAGUAACCGCGUGUCAUUACCGCGCGGUGAAUACGUCCCUGCUCCUUGCACANUACCGCCCGUCGUUUCAUAGAAGUUUGCUUUAGC
This 371-nucleotide ribosomal RNA is filed under the name uncultured archaeon. Its description in RNAcentral is "bacterial SSU rRNA". It matches the Rfam family "Archaeal small subunit ribosomal RNA", at positions 1017 to 1377 of the family's 1478-position model. The record is from RNAcentral.